UGGGGAAUAUUGGACAAUGGGCGAAAGCCUGAUCCAGCCAUGCCGCGUGUGAAGAAGGCCUUAUGGUUGUAAAGCACUUUAAGCGAGGAGGAGGGUACUGGUAUUAAUACUACCAGGUACUGGACGUUACUCGCAGAAUAAGCACCGGCUAACUCUGUGCCAGCAGCCGCGGUAAUACAGAGGGUGCAAGCGUUAAUCGGAAUUACUGGGCGUAAAGCGCGCGUAGGUGGUUCGUUAAGUUGAAUGUGAAAGCCCCGGGCUCAACCUGGGAACUGCAUCCAAAACUGGCGAGCUAGAGUAGGGCAGAGGGUGGUGGAAUUUCCUGUGUAGCGGUGAAAUGCGUAGAUAUAGGAAGGAACACCAGUGGCGAAGGCGACCACCUGGGCUCAUACUGACACUGAGGUGCGAAAGCGUGGGGAGCAAACAGG
RNAcentral lists this ribosomal RNA (428 nucleotides) under Pseudomonadota bacterium. RNAcentral describes it as "Proteobacteria bacterium partial 16S ribosomal RNA". It matches the Rfam family "Bacterial small subunit ribosomal RNA", at positions 355 to 776 of the family's 1533-position model. Lineage: Bacteria; Pseudomonadati; Pseudomonadota. The record is from RNAcentral.